UCUUCCUCAGACCUCCUUGAAUAACUGACUUAAAUUCUCUUAAGCCACUCCAGUUUCUCUGUAUUUAAGGUUUAAUUAUACAUAUAUCAGAAAAAUUGUUUUUCAUAUAUUUCCUUAAAGCUCUUGGCUCCUUCAGAAACUUUGAUCAGGUAACCGGCUGUUAUACAGAGAACACUGCUUCUCAUGUUGACCACCACCUUCUUGCGGUUUCCCAUCUGUUGUUUGUAAGCACCUCAUGUCUUGUGCCACUGAUGCUGUUAGCUCCUUUGAAAACAAGCUCUAUUUUCUUCUGUUUGCACAGUGCAUCAAAAAAAAAAAAAACAGGAAAACAAUCCAUGACUGGGAAUCCUAUAUAAUAGCAGAAUAUAUUUUUUUUUUGCUAGGAAGCUCAGUUAGUGAAACUUACCACAGAGGAACAACUCUGCUACAAAGUAUAAGACAACUUAGUUCAUAAAUACACAGAGUAGUCAUUCAAGUAAUCUUGCUUAUUUGAGGGAACAGAACGAACGAGAAAGAGACCAAAUGAGAAAGCGGAGCUGCAUAUGUAAGAGAGGGGACAGGACACGUUAGAAGAACUAGGCAGAAAAUGCCCAGACUAAAAAUCUCCGUAAAUAAGCUCAUCCCUUUCCAGAACUCGUUGAAGUUGCUUCUGUUUCCUCUGGAGCUGGUCUGCCCCUAGAAUUACUUUCUUUCUCUAACCAAAGAAAGGCUUAUGGAGAGAGAUUAAUAUAUGGACAUAAAAACUGUCACAGAGUAAGGAUCACUUCUUUCAAAAUUUUCAGUCUGAGCGAAGGAAGGGUUGUUUUGCGCUGUCAUGACUCCAAACGCAGUUCAGUAAGUAUUCUUCUGUUUUACAAAACAGUCAAUGGACUUGCUUCAAUUCAGGGAAUUUACUGUCCUCAACCAUACAGUCUUUCAGUUGUUACAUCCUGUUGUGCUUUCUAUACAUAUAAGGUGGAAUGGAAAUCUGGUUGGUACUUUCUCAUCCAUGUGAAAAUUCCUGGAUUCCUACAUAAUUCCACUUACAGUACUUCUCUGCAAGUGUCCUUUAGAAGUAUUAAGCUAAAUUUUGAGCCUUACUCAGGCCUUAUACAAACUCCUAUUGCCUUUAGGAGAAUUUUAGUAGACAAACAUGACAGAGAAUAUCCUUAUGUGACAGAGCAUCAUGAUAGGCUAGAGAUAACUGGCCAGAGAACUGCUGGUCUGUAAGCAAAAUAAUUUUUUUUUUUCAUUAGCCUUUAUAAUUUCUUUUCUUUUCACUACAUUAAAGAUUCUCAGUAUUUAAUUAAGGCUUAAAACAGCUACUUGUGAUAUAAUACUGACUAACCUAUUAUUGUCAGAAGGAAUGCAAUUACUUACAUAUACUUUCUAUCUUGUGGGCAGGAAGCCGUGGAGAGAUAGAAUCAAGAUAUGUGUUUUAGAUACACUGGCAUGUAGAGAAAAUAUCUCCCACAACUUGAAGUAUGCGCAAUUUCUAAUUUGUUUCUUUUUCUCCUAUUGACAGAAGCCCAAGGUGAUGCAUUCUUCCCUUAACAUUUCUAGAAAUGCACAGGACCUAUAUCUAGACAUAUCCUGAAGACAGUUCAUGAGGUUUUUGUAGUCCAUGUCACAAAUAAAAAGGCUAUGGAUGAUUCUGGUCUCUCCCUUCCUUGAUGAAUCAUGAAAGCAACAGAACGUGUUUUUUGGCUAAAGAACAGCAGCUUAGCACAAUGCCAAGUGAAAUCUAAAUGGAUACAAGAAGUUGCAUCUGGUAUUUUGUAAAUAAGAGACAGGUGGAGCCUCAAAGGCUCCCAAAAUAUGAUCCAAGAACAAAAGCAUGGCUUGUGUUCUCUCAAGAAAUUAGAAAUCAUGUGAUUAAUGGCAGCUUAUUUCUGGUGCUCUGACGUUGCUAAGGAAGAAGGGAUGUCCAGAAGCAGGGAACAAGAUAACCAGAGAGCAUACUGAAAAAGAAGGGAGAGACGGACAGCAGGAACAGCAGGGAGGCUCUGUGAGGUUAGGAGUGAGGCUGCCAGGUUACUGCCCACAACACGAGAGCUACGCAGGCACAAAGGAAUACACAGGCUGGAACUCGGCCCUAAUGAAGCACCUAAUGCUAAUAACAACACUGAAAAGGGAAGGAGUGAACAAAGGUUCAGCUACAGCAAGAAGGGCAUUUCACAUCUGGAAUUCAACAGUUACAAGAGCACUUGCCGCUUUGUCUAUGCCCAUUUCUUGAAGUGGGAACUUUGGGUUUGAAAUCUCUCAGACUGAAACUGGCCUCCAACCCAGCUCUCCCGCUGUUAAACAACAGCUUGGCUUGACUCCACCCCCUUACUGUGGUUACCAACAAAAAACCCAUGAUUGCUGUGUCCUAUCUGCCGUGUGCUGGAACAUACCUAUCAGCUCAAGUUGCUCAAGUAAUCGGAAGGGUUUUGCACAACCAUGAGAGAAGAAUGCAGUCCAGUAUUUUCAGGAAGAUGGAUUCCAGCCCAUUAAAACUAAAAUUUCAGAAAGACAGGCACUCUGAUGUAUCAUCUGUCAAGAAGCUGGAUAUGGAAGCUGUCCAGAGGUGAAAAGCUGAAACAGAAUUUUGGGAAAUUUUCAUAAAAAUAAAUACAGAGAAGAAUAUUGUUGUAUUUUUCUGUGAGAAGUCUUUGCAGAUGUAAUAUGAACAUAAUCCACCAGCAAUCUGUAAAAACCUAAACAAGAUCUGGAUCAUAACUGUACAGUACCCUAUAGAACUGGAGUAUGCGAUCAAACAGUAUCCUUACAGUAACUCUCAAGGAGAGUUUUGAGUUAUAAGAAAUAAUGGCAAUGAAGGGCAGAUUUCACAGGGCAGAGCACUCAUUUAAUGAGAUGUUCUGAUUUAAGCUAUAGAAAUUUUAAUAAAACUAGGUGAAAGUCAUACAAACAGAAAUAGUAAAAACAUCAGGCAUAUAGGAUAUGGAACCAUGUCUUGCAGGGUAUCGUGAGUCUGGAAGAGUAUUUCAAUUCACAUAGAUCUAGAAAACCUUUACAGUGAAAGACUAAACAAGAUCAAUUUAUCUGGUUUAUCUGGGAAAAGAUUAUGCCUAAGUCCCCUUCUAAUCUAAAAGUAGGUACAUAGAAGAAUUUCGAUAAUGGAAAGCUUUUUAAUCUAGCUGACAGAACAAGAGCCAAUGGAAAAAAUCAUUUAAAUCAUUUUGGAAAUAAAACACACAUUUUUAAACAGCGAGGGUUCUGUGUAACAAAUUACAAAAACAUGUUAUUGAUUUCACAUCAUUUUAAGUCUUUAUGUUGGAAUGUUUUUCUAAGGGUGCUAACACUGCCAAAAGUUAUAGCCUUGAUGUAAGAAGCACUAAGUGAAGGUAUGUAUUAUGAGCUGUACUGAAGGUCAGACUAGGUGAACAUCAUGGUCUUUUCUGAGUUUAUAAUCUAUAAAUCUUCAAUAUUAGGCCACGGUUUACGCAAUUCUGUAGCUAUUGUGAUAAGUUGCUUUAGC
Molecule: non-coding RNA, 3460 nt
Organism: Struthio camelus australis
Lineage: Eukaryota; Metazoa; Chordata; Aves; Struthioniformes; Struthionidae
Source: RefSeq, a predicted model, not a curated record